GUAUUUAUCAAAUUAUUUUUUUUUCAGUUUGUUUGAAUUGAUUUAAAACAAGACAUUGCAAAUACAUGUACAUUUACACUUUGCAGAACUGAAGAAUUCCUCUUUGUUGGGCAGACAGAGUCUCAGAAAAGGCUACUUAAAAUGUAUGGCUAGGAAAUAUGCCUUUUAGAUGCCACAUACAGAACUACCAAGUACAAUUUGCCUGCCUUUUUUGUAUGUGUGAACACAAACGUUGGCUAUUCCACCGUUGGAUGCUUCAUUACUGCAGAUGAAACAAAAGCUUCCAUCAAAAGAGGUCUGCAGUAUUUGAAGCAGUGGAAUGCAAACUGGGAUCCCAAAUUCUUCAUGACUGACUUUGAUACGUCAGAAAUAGGUGCUUUUGAGGAAACUUUUCCAGGCUAUGUUUGGUUGUCAUGUCUACUUGUGUGAUUUUCAUAGAGAGCAGGCAUGGGACAGGUGGUUAAAAUUACAAACAAAUGGAUGUGCUGAGUAUAAAGAUCAUAUCAUUUCUAUGUAAUUUUGAUUUUAAUCCUUUUCCCUUCUUUUUAGACAUGUAUAACUUUAUGGGAAUUUUACUGGUCACCUGUUGUUCAAUAUGUGUUUGAUUUUAUUGCUGAGAACUUUAUUCGAUAAAACCAGAAGGGACAAUUGUUAUCUUAUAAAUGCUAAGUAUUUUG
Molecule: long non-coding RNA, 677 nt
Organism: Saccostrea cuccullata (small rock oyster)
Lineage: Eukaryota; Metazoa; Mollusca; Bivalvia; Ostreida; Ostreidae
Exons: 3
Source: RefSeq, a predicted model, not a curated record